AUGAACGCUAGCUACAGGCUUAACACAUGCCAGUCGAGGGGCAGCAUGGUCUUAGCUUGCUAAGGCCGAUGGCGACCGGCGCACGGGUGAGUAACACGUAUCCAACCUGCCGUCUACUCUUGGACAGCCUUCUGAAAGGAAGAUUAAUACAAGAUGGCAUCAUGAGUCCGCAUGUUCACAUGAUUAAAGGUAUUCCGGUAGACGAUGGGGAUGCGUUCCAUUAGAUAGUAGGCGGGGUAACGGCCCACCUAGUCUUCGAUGGAUAGGGGUUCUGAGAGGAAGGUCCCCCACAUUGGAACUGAGACACGGUCCAAACUCCUACGGGAGGCAGCAGUGAGGAAUAUUGGUCAAUGGGCGAGAGCCUGAACCAGCCAAGUAGCGUGAAGGAUGACUGCCCUAUGGGUUGUAAACUUCUUUUAUAAAGGAAUAAAGUCGGGUAUGGAUACCCGUUUGCAUGUACUUUAUGAAUAAGGAUCGGCUAACUCCGUG
RNAcentral lists this ribosomal RNA (489 nucleotides) under uncultured bacterium. RNAcentral describes it as "partial 16S ribosomal RNA". It matches the Rfam family "Bacterial small subunit ribosomal RNA", at positions 29 to 507 of the family's 1533-position model. The record is from RNAcentral.